AUUGAACGCUGGCGGCAUGCCUUACACAUGCAAGUCGAACGGCAGCACGGGGCAACCUGGUGGCGAGUGGCGAGCGGGUGAGUAAUGCAUCGGAACGUACCUUUCAGUGGGGGAUAACGUAGCGAAAGUUACGCUAAUACCGCAUAUUCUGUGAGCAGGAAAGCAGGGGAUCGCAAGACCUUGCGCUGAUUGAGCGGCCGAUGUCAGAUUAGCUAGUUGGUGAGGUAAAGGCUCACCAAGGCGACGAUCUGUAGCGGGUCUGAGAGGAUGAUCCGCAAGACUGGAACGGAGACACGGUCCAGACUCCUACGGGAGGCAGCAGUGGGGAAUUUUGGGCAAUGGGGGCAACCCUGAUCCAGCCAUGCCGCGUGAGUGAAGAAGGCCUUCGGGUUGUAAAGCUCUUUCGGCCGGGAAGAAAUCGCACGGGCUAAUACCCUGUGUGGAUGACGGUACCGGAAUAAGAAGCACCGGCUAACUACGUGCCAGCAGCCGCCGUAA
Molecule: ribosomal RNA, 498 nt
Filed under: uncultured bacterium
Lineage: Bacteria
Description: partial 16S ribosomal RNA
Rfam family: Bacterial small subunit ribosomal RNA
Source: RNAcentral